Rhineura floridana is the source of this 298-nucleotide long non-coding RNA. RefSeq lists it as uncharacterized. NCBI's taxonomy places the organism in Eukaryota, Metazoa, Chordata, Lepidosauria, Squamata, Rhineuridae. The transcript is spliced from 3 exons. The record is from RefSeq and is a predicted model, not a curated record.
AUAUCACCUGGACAGCCAACUGAGCAGGCACACAGGUCAUGGUCUUCCCCACUAAGCCAGAUCAUCUGAGAGCAUCUGAAAAUGAUCCAUCUGCUUGGGAUGAACUGGAUUUGGCCGGAUUCCUCCAGGCCUGAUGGCCAACUCCUUUGCCAGACUUUAAAAAUGUAUACUCAUAAUGGCGCUGUAAUUAGCCCAAAGCACAGGAGACUUCCUGGGCUCAAGUAACAAGUACAACAGCAUGGCUGAGUCACAGGUGCAAAACACCAUCAUGCAUCCAUGAGCUGAUCCCUGUAAUCAG